CCUACGGGAGGCAGCAGUAGGGAAUCUUCCACAAUGGGCGCAAGCCUGAUGGAGCAACACCGCGUGAGUGAAGAAGGGUUUCGGCUCGUAAAGCUCUGUUGUUGGAGAAGAACGUGCGUGAGAGUAACUGCUCACGCAGUGACGGUAUCCAACCAGAAAGUCACGCCUAACUACGUGCCAGGAGCCGCGGUAAUACGGAGGGGGCAAGCGUUAUCCGGAUUUAUUGGGUGUAAAGCGAGCGCAGACGGUUGAUUAAGUCUGAUGUGAAAGCCUGGGGCUUAACCGAAGAAGUGCAUCGGAAACCGGGGAACUUGAGUGCAGAAGAGGACAGUGGAACUCCAUGUGUAGCGGUGGAAUGCGUAGAUAUAUGGAAGAACACCAGUGGCGAAGGCGGCUGUCUGGUCUGCAACUGACGCUGAGGCUCGAAAGCAUGGGUAGCGAACAGGAUUAGAUACCCGAGUAGUC
RNAcentral lists this ribosomal RNA (465 nucleotides) under uncultured bacterium. RNAcentral describes it as "partial 16S ribosomal RNA". It matches the Rfam family "Bacterial small subunit ribosomal RNA", at positions 338 to 795 of the family's 1533-position model. The record is from RNAcentral.